This 89-nucleotide small nucleolar RNA is filed under the name Tursiops truncatus (common bottlenose dolphin). Its description in RNAcentral is "Small nucleolar RNA SNORA70 (ENSTTRG00000024870.1)". It matches the Rfam family "Small nucleolar RNA SNORA70". From Rfam's summary of the family: snoRNA U70 seems to be exclusive to mammals and is a member of the H/ACA class of snoRNA which contain H (ANANNA) and ACA box motifs. H/ACA box snoRNAs are involved in the conversion of uridines to pseudouridines (5-ribosyluracil) a constituent of structural RNAs (transfer, ribosomal, small nuclear, and small nucleolar). The record is from Rfam by way of RNAcentral. RNAcentral also lists the same sequence under 2 other names. Lineage: Eukaryota; Metazoa; Chordata; Mammalia; Artiodactyla; Delphinidae.
CUGCAGCUAAUCAGGCCUCUUUUCUCUGUGGAGGCCUGGUGUGCAAUGGCUGCAAAAAGCAGCCACACACACACCAUUGUAAAGCAAUU